This is a small nucleolar RNA of Alnus glutinosa, 140 nucleotides long. RefSeq annotates it as small nucleolar RNA Z247. The record is from RefSeq and is a predicted model, not a curated record. The transcript has a single exon. NCBI's taxonomy places the organism in Eukaryota, Viridiplantae, Streptophyta, Magnoliopsida, Fagales, Betulaceae.
CAUAUGUUUGAUUUAGAAGUCAUCACAUACAUUCUUGGUGGUCUUGAUUUUGAGUUUGAUCCUUUAGUCACCUCUCUCACCACAAUAACAAAAAUCGUUAACUCUAGAAGAUGUUUAUGGUCAUUUACUUACAUGAGAUG